AAGUCGUAACAAGGUUUCCGUAGGUGAACCUGCGGAAGGAUCAUUAUUGAAUACGAAUCGGUACUGAUGCUGGCUACUCGUAGCAUGUGCUCGUCCAUUCUAUUUAUCUUCUCUUGUGCACCUUUUGUGAUUCUGGAAUUGAUAGCUGUUCUAUUAGCUUAGUUCGGCGUUUCGUCUUCGGGCGGUUUGGGGAUUGAGUUCAUUCACUUUCCCUGUUAUCAUUCUGGUCUCAUGUUUUCAUAUACCCUUAUAAAAAGUUAAAGAAUGUCUAUUAUCGAUCCUUGUGAUCUUUAAACCUAUACAACUUUCAGCAACGGAUCUCUUGGCUCUC
This 331-nucleotide unclassified non-coding RNA is filed under the name air metagenome. RNAcentral describes it as "partial contains small subunit ribosomal RNA, internal transcribed spacer 1, and 5.8S ribosomal RNA". The stretch from base 1 to 46 matches the Rfam family "Eukaryotic small subunit ribosomal RNA", at positions 1786 to 1831 of the family's 1831-position model. The record is from RNAcentral.